Molecule: ribosomal RNA, 406 nt
Filed under: uncultured bacterium
Lineage: Bacteria
Description: partial 16S ribosomal RNA
Rfam family: Bacterial small subunit ribosomal RNA
Source: RNAcentral
AUUGAACGCUGGCGGCAUGCCUAACACAUGCAAGUCGAACGAGUGGCGGACGGGUGAGUAAGGUCUGGGAAACUGCCUGAUGGAGGGGGAUAACUACUGGAAACGGUAGCUAAUACCGCAAACCAUCUGCUGUGCCCAGAUGGUAUUAGCUAGUAGGUGGGGUAAAGGCUAAGCUAGGCGACGAUCCCUAGCUGGUCGGAGAGGAUGAACAGCCACACUGGAACUGAGACACGGUCCAGACUCCGACGGGAGGCAGCAGUGGGGAAUAUUGCACAAUGGGCGCAAGCCUGAUGCAGCCAUGCCGCGUGUAUGAAGAAGGCCUUCGGGUUGUAAAGUACUUUCAGCGGGGAGGCGUUACCCGCAGAAGAAGCACCGGCUAACUCCGUGCCAGCAGCCGCGGUAAUUC